Molecule: ribosomal RNA, 253 nt
Filed under: uncultured bacterium
Lineage: Bacteria
Description: partial 16S ribosomal RNA
Rfam family: Bacterial small subunit ribosomal RNA
Source: RNAcentral
UACGAGGGGUGCAAGCGUUGCUCGGAAUUAUUGGGCGUAAAGGGUAGGUAGGUGGUCUUAUUUGUCUGUGGUGAAAUCCUUGGGCUUAACCCAAGAAGUGCCAUAGAAACGGUAAGACUCGAGUUCUGGAGAGGGUCGUGGAAUUCCCGGUGUAGCGGUGAAAUGCGUAGAGAUCGGGAGGAACACCAGAGGCGAAGGCGGCGACCUGGGUCGAUACUGACGCUGAGGUGCGAAAGCGUGGGGAGCAAACAGG